Molecule: ribosomal RNA, 79 nt
Filed under: Chlorogonium elongatum
Lineage: Eukaryota; Viridiplantae; Chlorophyta; Chlorophyceae; Chlamydomonadales; Haematococcaceae
Description: partial ribosomal gene fragment L3
Source: RNAcentral
AGCUUGGAAGCAGCUAUCUAAUAAUGAAAUCGUAAUAGAUCACAUCUAUAGCAGUUCCAAUCUACAAAUGUAAUGAAUA